Molecule: long non-coding RNA, 166 nt
Organism: Harpegnathos saltator (Jerdon's jumping ant)
Lineage: Eukaryota; Metazoa; Arthropoda; Insecta; Hymenoptera; Formicidae
Exons: 2
Source: RefSeq, a predicted model, not a curated record
AAAUCGGAUCUCUAAAUCGGUCGUAACUGUAUGUAGUUAAACUAUGGCGACGAGCGUGCAGACGAGGAAGAGGAGCAGGACCAGCAAGACCCGACAUAAGAUGCAUGGGACGAGGAUGAGGUCGAAGACAACACUCACGGUCGCAGGAGGUCGAGAGAGAGAGAGA